This 577-nucleotide ribosomal RNA is filed under the name uncultured bacterium. Its description in RNAcentral is "bacterial SSU rRNA". It matches the Rfam family "Bacterial small subunit ribosomal RNA", at positions 623 to 1212 of the family's 1533-position model. The record is from RNAcentral.
CCGUUCAAUACUGCGGAGCUCGAGGGCAGAAGAGGGGGGUGGAAUUGCUGGUGUAGUGGUGAAAUGCGUAGAUAUCAGCAGGAACACCUGUGGCGAAAGCGGCCCCCUGGUCUGCUCCUGACACUCAGACGCGAAAGCUAGGGGAGUGAACGGGAUUAGAAACCCCGGUAAUCCUAGCCGUAAACGAUGGAUGCUAGGUGUGGGUGGUAUUGACCCCAUCCGUGCCGAAGCCAACGCGUUAAGCAUCCCGCCUGGGGACUACGGCCGCAAGGUUAAAACUCAAAGGAAUUGACGGGGACCCGCACAAGCAGCGGAGCGUGUGGUUUAAUUCGAUGCUACACGAAGAACCUUACCCAGGUUUGACAUGCGGGUAGUAGUGAAGCGAAAGCGGAACGAUCCUUCGGGAAGCCUGCACAGGUGCUGCAUGGCUGUCGUCAGCUCGUGCCGUGAGGUGUUUGGUUAAGUCCACUAACGAGCGCAACCCCUGUCGUCAGUUACAUGUGUCUGGCGAGACUGCCGGUCUUAAACCGGAGGAAGGUGGGGAUGACGUCAAGUCAGCAUGGCCUUUAUAUCUGGG